GUUGCAAGACUAUUUACGCCUUACAACAGAGGAAGAGGACUUGCAAGACGAACAAGCUUGCCUGUGAUGAGUCGUGCAGUAUCCUGCAGCUUUACGCAUAACUUCUGCUGUCUUGAUGACAAAAAUGCAGAUUUAGUACCCAGUCGCUGUGCAAAAGACAGAUUGUUCUCUGCUGGGUUAGGGGAGAAACGUGUCACCUUUCGAGGAUGCCAUGCAGAUCCCCAAAAAUUUAAGGAUGUCAUCGUGGAGGCUUUUCCAAAACUCAGACAAGGUGGUGGGUUUGAGUUGCUAAAAAUAUCUGGAAAUACAAGGAGCCGUUAUCUCAGCUUGAUACCCUGUCCAAAUGAGGGGUACCAUGUAAAGUAUUUGAAAGAUCCUCAAAAUCAAAUUGGUCAUGCAACCAUUUUCAUUCGUCACUUCAACGAAACUUAAGAAGUUGAAUCACCAAGUCUUCCUAGCAGAGAUGAGUUGAUUGGACCACCUCAAAAAUGUGUUGUAUGUGGAGAUGAAUUCCCCUUUGCAGCUCUC
Sinocyclocheilus anshuiensis is the source of this 528-nucleotide long non-coding RNA. RefSeq lists it as uncharacterized. Lineage: Eukaryota; Metazoa; Chordata; Actinopteri; Cypriniformes; Cyprinidae. The record is from RefSeq and is a predicted model, not a curated record. The transcript is spliced from 3 exons.